GCGGGUGUAGCUCAGCUGGUUAGAGCGCCAGAUUGUGAUUCUGGAUGUCGCCGGUUCGAAUCCGGUCACUCGCCCCA
RNAcentral lists this transfer RNA (77 nucleotides) under Pseudomonadota bacterium. RNAcentral's name for it is "tRNA-His". It matches the Rfam family "tRNA". From Rfam's summary of the family: Transfer RNA (tRNA) molecules are approximately 80 nucleotides in length. Their secondary structure includes four short double-helical elements and three loops (D, anti-codon, and T loops). Lineage: Bacteria; Pseudomonadati; Pseudomonadota. RNAcentral also lists the same sequence under 1 other name. The record is from RNAcentral.